This 485-nucleotide ribosomal RNA is filed under the name uncultured microorganism. RNAcentral's name for it is "bacterial SSU rRNA". It matches the Rfam family "Bacterial small subunit ribosomal RNA", at positions 9 to 486 of the family's 1533-position model. The record is from RNAcentral.
GAGUUUGAUCGUGGCUCAGGACGAACGCUGGCGGCGUGCCUAAUACAUGCAAGUCGAGCGAGUCUCUUCGGAGGCUAGCGGCGGACGGGUGAGUAACACGUAGGCAACCUGCCUCUCAGACCGGGAUAACAUAGGGGAAACUUAUGCUAAUACCGGAUAGGUUUUUGGAUUGCAUGACCCGAAAAGAAAAGAUGGCUUUUCGCUAUCACUGGGAGAUGGGCCUGCGGCGCAUUAGCUAGUUGGUGGGUAACGGCCUACCAAGGCGACGAUGCGUAGCCGACCUGAGAGGGUGACCGGCCACACUGGGACUGAGACACGGCCCAGGACUCCUACGGGAGGCAGCAGUAGGGAAUUUUCCACAAUGGACGAAAGUCUGAUGGAGCAACGCCGCGUGAACGAUGAAGGUCUUCGGAUUGUAAAGUUCUGUUGUCAGGGACGAACACGUACCGUUCGAAUAGGGCGGUACCUUGACGGUACCUGACGAG